This is a long non-coding RNA of Drosophila simulans, 3321 nucleotides long. RefSeq lists it as uncharacterized. Lineage: Eukaryota; Metazoa; Arthropoda; Insecta; Diptera; Drosophilidae. The transcript is spliced from 2 exons. The record is from RefSeq and is a predicted model, not a curated record.
GCAGCAGGAAGCACACAAAUCUCCCAGGAGUGUUGGCGUCACCCGGGCGCAGAUAGCGCACCACAGGACGCACAGGACUUAAAGUCCUUAAAUUACAAAUUACGGGCAAGGAAGUCCGGUCAGGACCGAUAUCCUAGAAUUCUGAAGUUGUUGCAUACUUUUCUGGUGCACUAUUACCAACACUGCGCUAGAAAUUCCCAAACAGUUCUGGCAGAUCCCGCAAGGAGAGCCCAGAAUUGGGCGGAGAAAAGCAUACUUACCUGGCGUAGAGGUUAACCGUGAUCACGAAGGCGGUUCCUCCGGAGUGAGGCUUGGCCAUUGCACUACGGCUGAGUUGACCUCUGCGAUUAUUCCUAAUGUGAAUAACUCGUGCGCGUAAUUUUUGGUAGCCGGGAAUGGCGUUCGCGCCGUCCCGACAUUUAAAAUAAAUAUUGAAAAGAAAACGCUUAGUUUUAGUUAAUAAUUAGAUUGAUGAAGUAGUUAGUGUGGAAGUUAAUUUAAACAAAUGUCUUUACCACUAACAGCUAGUUUGCGCUUUUCCCAAUCAUCGAUCAUUGAAAGGGAAAAAGAGGAGGGGUUUUUACGAAAUCCCUCAACAUCCCCAUUCCAUUCAUCCAUCCAUUAACUGCCUUGGUCUUUUUUGCUCCUCCUUGGCCAAACCAAACGUAACCGGUCCAGCCUCCUUUUUCGCGCUUCCUUAUUUAUUUAUCAUCAUUUAUUAAACGCUCUCGCUUGCCUGCCAAGAAAGGAGUCAGUCGUCGUCGUCGGUCCGAGUUCGGCACAAAAAAUUGUCGCUGUCAGAUUACGUUGCAAUAUUGCUUCCAGUUGCCAUAUCCUGCCGACUUUCCGCCCAAAUUCACGCUGCGAAGGACGAGAGAAACGUGAAAUCGAAGGGUCGGGCGGGGGUCGUCCCCUCCCAAUUCUCUUGGCUUUGACACAAGCAACAAUUUACUCGGUUUCAGACACACCGAACAGGGGCGCACACACACACCCUCGCAGUGGGAAAGACAAAUACAGAUGUACCAACAGCAGCAUCCCCCGUCAGAAGACCAGGGCACAACAUUCCUGGGUAGGAAUAUUUCCGAGCUUUAAUGAGGUUGGGCCACCAACCAAUGAGUCCUUCGCAGGGGGAGGACGACCUGCUUUCCGCCCAACGUCCCCUUAACUUUUUCGCCCGGGAAGAGUCUAUUGCGGAAGUAAAUGAAAAUUUGAUUUGGAAUUUCGUGUGUCCUGGUCGUGCGUGCGUGCGUUACAGGAUCUCAGCCCAAACCAAUGAACCCAAACCGAACGAAUCCCCGAACGACGCGGAUGAUGAUGUUGAUGACGACGUCAAAGUCGAAGAUGGGCAUGUGAUAAAAUAAAUUACGGGCAGAUUAGUGCGAAUUUAAUUAUCGUUUGUUCCUUUGAUGUCGCUAAGCAAAUAAAGGGAAUAAAUAUGAUGAUGAUGCAAACGGCAGUUCUAAUAACAUUAUUUCCGCAUCCAGUUAAUUGCGGAAAAUGUGUGCGAGUCUGUGUUGGAAAAAUUCCUACCUGCGGCUAUCUGAAUUUUCCAACCCCUAGCAGUGCCUACUUUCUCCUUUCACUCGCACACAGUGCCUAUAAUUCCCAACUGGUUCUGGCUGCUUGCCUAUGGAGAUCCCAGAGUUGAGCAGCGAUAAGCAUACUUACCUGGCGUAGAGGUUAACCGUGAUCACGAAGGCGGUUCCUCCGGAGUGAGGCUUGGCCAUUGCACUACGGCUGAGUUGACCUCUGCGAUUAUUCCUAAUGUGAAUAACUCGUGCGCGUAAUUUUUGGUAGCCGGGAAUGGCGUUCGCGCCGUCCCGACAUUUAAAAUAAAUAUUGAAAAGAAAACGCUUAGUUUUAGUUAAUAAUUAGAUUGAUGAAGUAGUUAGUGUGGAAGUUAAUUUAAACAAAUGUCUUUACCACUAACAGCUAGUUUGCGCUUUUCCCAAUCAUCGAUCAUUGAAAGGGAAAAAGAGGAGGGGUUUUUACGAAAUCCCUCAACAUCCCCAUUCCAUUCAUCCAUCCAUUAACUGCCUUGGUCUUUUUUGCUCCUCCUUGGCCAAACCAAACGUAACCGGUCCAGCCUCCUUUUUCGCGCUUCCUUAUUUAUUUAUCAUCAUUUAUUAAACGCUCUCGCUUGCCUGCCAAGAAAGGAGUCAGUCGUCGUCGUCGGUCCGAGUUCGGCACAAAAAAUUGUCGCUGUCAGAUUACGUUGCAAUAUUGCUUCCAGUUGCCAUAUCCUGCCGACUUUCCGCCCAAAUUCACGCUGCGAAGGACGAGAGAAACGUGAAAUCGAAGGGUCGGGCGGGGGUCGUCCCCUCCCAAUUCUCUUGGCUUUGACACAAGCAACAAUUUACUCGGUUUCAGGUUAAAGUCAUAUCGUUAGCAUUAACGCUUUUUGAUUUUUAUUGAGUCAGCUAAAUUUUAUUCGAUUUACCAUCCACACACACACAGACACACCGAACAGGGGCGCACACACACACCCUCGCAGUGGGAAAGACAAAUACAGAUGUACCAACAGCAGCAUCCCCCGUCAGAAGACCAGGGCACAACAUUCCUGGGUAGGAAUAUUUCCGAGCUUUAAUGAGGUUGGGCCACCAACCAAUGAGUCCUUCGCAGGGGGAGGACGACCUGCUUUCCGCCCAACGUCCCCUUAACUUUUUCGCCCGGGAAGAGUCUAUUGCGGAAGUAAAUGAAAAUUUGAUUUGGAAUUUCGUGUGUCCUGGUCGUGCGUGCGUGCGUUACAGGAUCUCAGCCCAAACCAAUGAACCCAAACCGAACGAAUCCCCGAACGACGCGGAUGAUGAUGUUGAUGACGACGUCAAAGUCGAAGAUGGGCAUGUGAUAAAAUAAAUUACGGGCAGAUUAGUGCGAAUUUAAUUAUCGUUUGUUCCUUUGAUGUCGCUAAGCAAAUAAAGGGAAUAAAUAUGAUGAUGAUGCAAACGGCAGUUCUAAUAACAUUAUUUCCGCAUCCAGUUAAUUGCGGAAAAUGUGUGCGAGUCUGUGUUGGAAAAAUUCCUACCUGCGGCUAUCUGAAUUUUCCAACCCCUAGCAGUGCCUACUUUCUCCUUUCACUCGCACACAGUGCCUAUAAUUCCCAACUGGUUCUGGCUGCUUGCCUAUGGAGAUCCCAGAGUUGAGCAGCGAUAAGCAUACUUACCUGGCGUAGAGGUUAACCGUGAUCACGAAGGCGGUUCCUCCGGAGUGAGGCUUGGCCAUUGCACUACGGCUGAGUUGACCUCUGCGAUUAUUCCUAAUGUGAAUAACUCGUGCGUGUAAUUUUUGGUAGCCGGGAAUGGCGUUCGCGCCGUCCCGACA